This 459-nucleotide ribosomal RNA is filed under the name uncultured bacterium. RNAcentral's name for it is "partial 16S ribosomal RNA". It matches the Rfam family "Bacterial small subunit ribosomal RNA", at positions 338 to 795 of the family's 1533-position model. The record is from RNAcentral.
CCUACGGGAGGCAGCAGUGAGGCAUAUUGGUCAAUGGGCGCGAGCCUGAACCAGCCAAGUCGCGUGAGGGAAGACGGUCCUAUGGAUUGUAAACCUCUUUUGUCGGGGAGCAAAAGACGCCACGCGUGGCGUUCCGAGAGUACCCGAAGAAAAAGCAUCGGCUAACUCCGUGCAAGCAGCCGCGGUAAUACGGAGGAUGCGAGCGUUAUCCGGAUUUAUUGGGGUUAAAGGGGGCGCAGGCGGAAGAUCAAGUCAGCGGUAAAAUUGGGAGGCUCAACCUCUUCGAGCCGUUGAAACUGGUUUUCUUGAGUGAGUGAGAAGUAUGCGGAAUGCGUGGUGUAGCGGUGAAAUGCAUAGAUAUCACGCAGAACGCCGAUUGCGAAGGCAGCAUACCGGCGCUCAACUGACGCUCAUGCACGAAAGUGUGGGUAGCGAACAGGAUUAGAUACCCUUGUAGUC